Macaca mulatta (Rhesus monkey) is the source of this 540-nucleotide non-coding RNA. Lineage: Eukaryota; Metazoa; Chordata; Mammalia; Primates; Cercopithecidae. The record is from RefSeq and is a predicted model, not a curated record.
CCCAGGUAAGUUUAACCAUUUAGGGCCAGCAAAUUGACUUCCUCCUGGAUACUGGCGUGGACUUCUCAGUGUUAAUCUCCUCUCCUGGGUGGCUGUGCUCAAGGUCCAUUACCAUCCAAGGAAUCCCGGGACAGUCUAUAACCAGUUUGGCUUUCAGAUAUAGGUGGACUCUCAGCAUCAGAUGUUUUCUUAAUGAACCCGCUAAGGUAAUGCAGACGAGCCUGAGAAGCCUAAAGAACAAACAUGAGCAGCUUUUUAAAAGCUCUUCAAAAGCAACAACCAGUACAGAGCAUGCCUAAGGAAGAAAAGUAAAAGAUGACAGCUUUUCGAAGUCAGAUGACCUUGAUUGCUCUUCCUGGCUCAGCUGUCUCCCAUGCCUGUUUCAUGGCUCGGAUUUCAUCUGCCCGUUCUGUAUCCUUUUUCACUUCAAAUAAUUCUGAUUCACUGUGUUCAGUGACCAACCUCAAAAUCCAGUAGGGCUUAUUUGGGUCUUCUUGUUGAGGGUGAACAGUGGAUAUCUGAUAAAAUAAAAUAAAAACC